GGGUGUAAAGGGCGCGUAGGCGGCGCGGUAAGUCACUUGUGAAAUCUCUGAGCUUAACUCAGAACGGCCAAGUGAUACUGCUGUGCUAGAGUGCGGAAGAGGCAACCGGAAUUCUUGGUGUAGCGGUGAAAUGCGUAGAUAUCAAGAGGAACACCUGAGGCGAAGGCGGGUUGCUGGGCCGACACUGACGCUGAUGCGCGAAAGCCAGGGGAGCAAACGGGAUUAGAUACCCCGGUAGUCCUGGCCCUAAACGAUGAAUACUUGGUGUCUGGAGUUUCAAUGCUCCGGGUGCCGUCGCUAACGUUUUAAGUAUUCCGCCUGGGGAGUACGCUCGCAAGAGUGAAACU
RNAcentral lists this ribosomal RNA (347 nucleotides) under uncultured bacterium. Its description in RNAcentral is "bacterial SSU rRNA". It matches the Rfam family "Bacterial small subunit ribosomal RNA", at positions 556 to 901 of the family's 1533-position model. The record is from RNAcentral.